AUACGGCUAUACCACGUUGAAAAAAUCGGUUGUUGUACGAUCGCCGAAGUUAAGCAACUUUGAGCGUGGUCAGCACCUAGAUGGGUGACCGCUUGAAAAUACCAACUGCUGUA
This is a non-coding RNA of Acanthosepion pharaonis, 113 nucleotides long. The record is from the annotation of a GenBank genome assembly. Lineage: Eukaryota; Metazoa; Mollusca; Cephalopoda; Sepiida; Sepiidae.